AUUGAACGCUGGCGGCAGGCCUAACACAUGCAAGUCGAACGGUAGCACAGAGAGCUUGCUCUCGGGUGACGAGUGGCGGACGGGUGAGUAAUGUCUGGGAAACUGCCCGAUGGAGGGAGAUAACUACUGGAAACGGUAGCUAAUACCGCAUAACGUCGCAAGACCAAAGUGGGGGACCUUCGGGCCUCACCCCAACGGAAGUGCCCAGAUGGGAUUAGCUAGUAGGUGGGGUAAUGGCUCACCUAGGCGACGAUCCCUAGCUGGUCUGAGAGGAUGACCAGCCACACUGGAACUGAGACACGGUCCAGACUCCUACGGGAGGCAGCAGUGGGGAAUAUUGCACAAUGGGCGCAAGCCUGAUGCAGCCAUGCCGCGUGUAUGAAGAAGGCCUUCGGGUUGUAAAGUACUUUCAGCGGGGAGGAAGGCGGUGGAGUUAAUAACUUCACCGAUUGACGUUACCCGCAGAAGAAGCACCGGCUAACUCCGUACCAGCCGCCGCGGUAA
Molecule: ribosomal RNA, 504 nt
Filed under: uncultured bacterium
Lineage: Bacteria
Description: partial 16S ribosomal RNA
Rfam family: Bacterial small subunit ribosomal RNA
Source: RNAcentral